Molecule: long non-coding RNA, 2600 nt
Organism: Papio anubis (olive baboon)
Lineage: Eukaryota; Metazoa; Chordata; Mammalia; Primates; Cercopithecidae
Source: Ensembl
AUGGAAAAAGAACUGGCUUGGAAGAGCUUGUGGAUAGCUGAGCAUGCGAGAGUUUCCAGGAAGAUGAACAAGAACACAUCCACGAGAUGGGAGGGUGGCGCACCCCAACUCCACCUGGACAGAAGCUCCUGGGCUCAUGACCCUUCCAGAUCUUGCCCUGUGCCUCUCUCUUCAUCUGACUGUUUAUUUGUAUCCUUUAAAAUAUCCUGUGUAAUAAACCAAGUAAGUGUUUCCCUGAGUUCUGUGACCUGCUCUAGCAGCUCGUGGGAGCCCUGAUUUAUACUUGGUAAGUCAGAAGCGUGGGCAAAAUAACGUGGGGCUUGCAAUUGUUGUCAGAAGUGGAGGGCAGUCUUGUGCGACUGAGUCCUCAACCUUUGUGAUCUGAUGUCUCCAGGUAGAUAUUGUCAGAAUUGAGUUGAAUUAGAGAACACCCCGCUGUUGUCCUCUGCACAAUCACUUGCUUGCUGGUGGGAGAAAUCCCCACACAUCUGGUGUCACAAGCAUGUUGUGAGAGUAUAGAGGAAAAUGGUUUGCUUUUCCACCCAUAGACACAUACAGAGGGAAAAUGAGGUGAAGACACAAGGAAAAGACAACCAUCUAUGAGCCAAGGAGAGAGGCCUUAAAAGAAAUCAACCUUGCCAUCUUGAUCUUGGACUUCAAGCCUCCAGAACGGUGAGAAGAUAAGUUCUGUUGUUUAGGUCGCCUGUCUGUGGCGUUUGUUAUAGUAGCCCUAGCAAAAUAAUACAAAGCCUUUUUCUGUACUAGGAACUUUGUGCUCUGCAUUUUCUGGUUGGAAAUCUUUGUUCCCACGUUCAUUUCAAAUAUUCCGCCCUCACAGAGGCUGUCCCCACCAGUCAACUAAAAUUAUCGCCCCCACUCCCAACAGUCAACCUCUUACCAGCAACCCCUGGCACAGGAGUCUGUUCUGUAUUUUUUAUACUUCUAUUAGCACCUGAUAUUAUUUACUUGUGUUACUCUUUAUUUUCUCUUCCCUGAUCCCUUCUAGAAUGUAAGUGCCUUAAAGGUAGUCUCGAGUUCAUUUUUAUGAAAUGAAGUUCUGUCAGUUCAGAGCCAGGGUCUGGUGAUUUAAAAAAAAAAAAGAGGAAAUAACUUUUGAUAGAAGGAAUAGUUCUGAUCCCCCCAAGCCACUGUGCAAGGUCCAUGAAGUUUUGGUAUCUGCUAUGGGCAAUCAUAGACCAUCAUCAGUCUUUCAUUAUUCUCUUGCUCCAAGUUCAGAUUUUUAAAACAUUCAUUUUCAUUAAAUCAUUUGCUUUUUAUAGGAGGCUUGGCUUUUCUCCAAUAUGCCCUGCAAAUGCUGGUCUGUUAUACUUACAUUAAAUUAAGCCUAAAGCUGCCUCCUUACAUGUUUUAAGUUCGGUCUAAAAGUUUGUCUAUAUGUAGUGAACUGUAACCUAACCGGAUGCGUCUAAAGACUGUAACCUACUCUUGCACCAAUUACUGAGUUUUGGCCACUCUAAGGUGACCAACUGUUUAAACCAUGUUCAAAUAAGGCACAUGCUGAGAUGUAACCAAUCCAGUGAUUUCGGUACCUCACUUCCGUCUUCCAUGCCUCUUUUUCUUUUUACUGUCAACAAAUCCUUUGUGACCACAUGCGGGAGUUGUUCUGAACCUAUUCUGGUUUAGGGGCUGCCUGACUGGUGAAUUGUUCCUUGCUCAAUUGAACUCUGUUAAGUUGUUUGUCUUAAGUUCUUCUUUUAACACCUGUAAGCAACAAUGGCUGCAUCUUAAGUGAGGCCCCCUCACCCUAGUCUAUACUUCUGCAUGCUCUCCUGCAUUUGUGUAUGCUUUGGCUUGUGUGUUCUCCUUAAGGAGUCAACAUUCUGCAUAUCGUAGUACUGGGAGGAGAGUAUUAAACCAGCUCUGGCAGGAAAAGCAACUCUUCUUGGAGAUAGAACUGAAAAUAGAUUUCCCCAUUGGGCAGAAAUACAGAUGCAUGAAAUCUCUUGGGCAUCCUAUUUGAUACUCCUGGCAGCAAUAGUUCUGGGAUCUUAUUAUUUGAAUGUUUGUUGCCCAUUGUGAUGAGGAAUACAUAUCCACACAUGAAUGUACAUACAUACAGUAGAAUAUUAGAAAUGGUAGAAAUUUCAUUUCUUGUGUAAUGAAACCCAAUCUUUCCAGUCAUUUACUAGUCAGGAGAGCUGGUCUCACAAUUUCAUAUGGAAAUAUUAUAUUUGAAGAUAUAUGAUCUUCAUAAUUUUGUUUCGGAUAUGGAUGAAAAGCAAUCUGAGAGCUACCAGAUUAAAUAAAGAACUGUAAUAAUCUUUUUUAUUCCUGGGAAGAGAAAUGAGGCUGACUUGAAAAAGAACAGAUCAACUUGUUAAUGUUUCAAAAAAUAUCUCUUUAGAAGUAAACACAAUUUCAUGAAAAUUCCAGUGGUGUUUAAUUUAGCUAAUAUUAUUACUGCCUCAUGGAAACUGUAACACACAGCUGUGUGAUGGGUUGCUUCUCACACUGAUUUGUGUCACAGGAUUUUUCAACUUCUGAAAGUUUUCAACUUCUGAAACUAUUUUUUUUUUUUUUUUGGCUAAAAGGAAGUCGAAGGAAGAAAAAGGACAAAAUAUUGACUAUACAGAUGAAAG